This is a ribosomal RNA of 631 nucleotides. The stretch from base 224 to 377 matches the Rfam family "5.8S ribosomal RNA".
UCCGUAGGUGAACCUGCGGAAGGAUCAUUAACGAGUUUUGAAAGGGGUUGUAGCUGGCCUUCCGGGGCAUGUGCACACCCUGCUCAUCCACUCUACACCUGUGCACUUACUGUAGGUUGGCGUGGGUUUUUGGUCUUUGCGGAUCAGAGACAUUCUGCCGGCCUAUGUAUUCUACACAAACACCAAGUAAAUGAAUGUAAACGCGUCUAACGCAUCUUAAUACAACUUUCAGCAACGGAUCUCUUGGCUCUCGCAUCGAUGAAGAACGCAGCGAAAUGCGAUAAGUAAUGUGAAUUGCAGAAUUCAGUGAAUCAUCGAAUCUUUGAACGCACCUUGCGCUCCUUGGUAUUCCGAGGAGCAUGCCUGUUUGAGUGUCAUGAAAUUCUCAACUCAUAAACCUUUGCGGGUUUGUGGGCUUGGACUUGGAGGCUUGCUGGUUUUUACUUCAGCUCCUCUUGAAUGCAUUAGCUUGAUUCCCUGCGGAUCGGCUCUCAGUGUGAUAAUUAUCUACGCUGUGGUCGUGAUGUGUUUGGCAAGCUUCUAAUCGUCCUUCACAGGACAACUUUAUGACAUCUGACCUCAAAUCAGGUAGGACUACCCGCUGAACUUAAGCAUAUCAAUAAGCGGAGGA